This 305-nucleotide ribosomal RNA is filed under the name uncultured bacterium. RNAcentral describes it as "bacterial SSU rRNA". It matches the Rfam family "Bacterial small subunit ribosomal RNA", at positions 337 to 635 of the family's 1533-position model. The record is from RNAcentral.
ACCUACGGGACGCAGCAGUAGGGAAUUUUCGUCAAUGGGCGCAAGCCUGAACGAGCAAUGCCGCGUGAACGAGGAAGGUCUUCGGAUCGUAAAGUUCUGUUGAAGGGGAAAAAGAGCGGAGAGAGGAUAUGCUUUCUGAUUGAUAUUACCCUUCGAGGAAGUCACGGCUAACUACGUGCCAGCAGCCGCGGUAAUACGUAGGUGGCGAGCGUUAUCCGGAAUGAUUGGGCGUAAAGGGUGCGUAGGCGGCCUGCUAAGUCUGGAGUGAAAGGUACCGGCUCAACCGGUACAGGCUCUGGAAACUG